UUGUAGAGGUUGCAGGCAAACGACUGCCUGACGUCGUCGAGUCUCGGGCACGAGCCUUACCGUCAGUUUGUGUCCAGCAUUAGUCCAGCCUGGUGCGAGGAUGCCCGUCGGGAGUUGGCCUGCAGCGAUACCAUUCUUGCCUUCGACCAGUUGGUGGACAUGAUAACCUGCUGGUCACCCGUGGAUGUCCAGAGAGGGCUCUGUCGAUUCCCUCUCCCAGCACCACCGCACCGGUGCCUAUGGAGCUGGGAGGUGCGGCGCUUAUGGAGGCUGGAGGAGGGGCUUUCACGUGUACCAGCAGAUAUGGAAAGCUGUGAAAGCCUGUUUGCAGACGAAAAGAGAGGUCCCAAUAUUUGUCCCAAGAGACUAGGGGUAUUUCCUAUAUGCCAUGGGUUAUUCUGCAUGUGUAGGCCUAGCUAUGUUAGCAAAUUUUGUAUACAAAAAUACAGUUAAACAUCACACACAAUGUAUAAAGUCACGCCCUGAUCUGUUUCAUCUGUCUUUGUGCUUGUCUCCACCCCCCUCCAGGUGUCGCCCAUCUUCCCCAUUAUCCCCUGUGUACUUAGACCUGUGUUUUCUGUUUGUCUUGUUUAUCAAGCUUACCAGUGUUUGUCCUGUCAGCUCCUGUCUUUUCCUAGCCUCUCUUUUUCUCACCCUCCUGGUUUUCGACCCCUGCCAGUCCUGACCUCGCCCGCCUAUCCACUCUGCCUGACCCUGAGCUUGCCUGCUGUCCUGUACCUUUGCCUCUGUUGCUGUAAUAAACAUUGUUACUUCGACACGGUCUGCAUCUGGGUCUUAGCUUAUCCUGAUGUAUAAACCUAUUACAGUUGGAGAAGGCCAACCCUGCUGGAGGUCUGCUGGGUGUGCAGGGUUCUAUUUCAGCACAGCAAUACUUCUAUUUCAGCCCAGUCAGACUUGCAGCCACCGCUGGUAUGGAGUUUUUUUUUUGUUAACCUGAAAUGAUGCUUUAGUGAUAAUGGUCUACUUGUUACUACUCAAUCGAUUGUUGUUUAGACUAAGAUGCUUAAUCUUUACGAGUUAGCUUAUUUGUACAUUUUUAAGUAAUUAAGUGUUGAUUAUUUGAAGUGAAGUGUUUAAACUUGUUUUAAUUCUUAAACUGUUAUUCAAAAUGAACUAGUAUGAAUGUUGAUUAAUCACAUAUCACAAUCCUGCAAUAAAGAGGGGAAGGGGUUUGUUCUCUGCGUUGUAUUCCCAAAUGAACAUGUCCUUUUUGUCUAAUCUUAAAAUCUCCAAUCUGUUUAAUUUUGUCACUCUCUCAGUAUCCGCUAUGUGAAUCCAUUUUGCAGCAUAUCAUAUAGCAUGUGUCACUGGUGUAAAGAGGAGUAGGCAGAAGGCAGUCUCAGGUUUAGAACUACUGAGUUUUUUGAAGCACCGUAGAUCAAAGCGGGACAAAACCCACAUGCUGUUUUGCUCAAAAUGUAUCUUCAUGAACAAAAAGGCACAGGAUGAACCCAAAGUGCAAAAUAUAAAGUACUCAGGAAAUAGUAGGAGAGAUUCCUCUCAGGAAAACAAGUAACAUUUGCAAUGACCGACAAAGACAAAUGCCAGAGGGAGUAUAUAUACAUAGAGUGGGGAUUGGAACCAGGUGUGUGUAAUGAUGACGAGACAAGUCCGGGGUUGACGAGUGAAAAUUCGGCAGCAGCUAGAAGGCUGGCGACACUGAACGCCUGAGCUGGACAGGAGGGGGAGCCAAAGCGAAGGCUGGUGUGUAGGCCAUAGGCCUACAGUGUGAUGGCAUUACUGGCCUUAUGGGCAUCUGUCAUCCGAAGCAGAGAAUAGCUAAACUCACACAUUGUUUACAUGUUGAGCUAUAGGUUCUCAAACCAUAUACUAGAUGUAUUUUAAGUGCUGCAUUACAGAUAACAUUUUAUAAGGUUAAUUUAGUUUAGCAAUGUUGCUUGCACAAUGAUUGCAGUUGGUCCCACAGAUAGACAGUACAUGGUUGCUCUAUGUAUCCCUGACCCUAGAUAAGCUAAAGACUGGGCUAACACAGCUAACCCUUUAGGUCAAUAAUAUAAUGUUUUUAUCAACAUUUUGUAUCGUGAGAGAAAUGUUACUAGCUAGUAACUAGCUAGUGAGUUAUACCUAGGUAGUUUACAAUGUUAGCUGACUUUUCUCAAAUCAAAUGUCAUUGAGGCUAGCUACUUUUUGCCCCUCCUUUACUAGCCUUUACAGCCAAAUAUCACUUCAGAAACGUUAAAAUAAAAAGAUACUGAUAUGGUCAGCAUUAUAGGCCAUUUCUCCCCUCUUGCUGCAGCUUUAGCUCACCUUGAAAUAACAGAAAUGCUGUGAAAACCAGCAUGCUGAAAACUUUCUCAAAUGUUUUAUCACCAGCUCCUUGUUGCUAGCCAGUGUUUCCAACUAUUUUUCAGCAGUGGUGUAAAGUACUUAAGUAAAAAUACUUGAAAGUACUACUUAAGCAGU
Long non-coding RNA from Oncorhynchus tshawytscha (Chinook salmon), 2445 nucleotides. RefSeq lists it as uncharacterized. The record is from RefSeq and is a predicted model, not a curated record. The transcript has 3 exons. NCBI's taxonomy places the organism in Eukaryota, Metazoa, Chordata, Actinopteri, Salmoniformes, Salmonidae.